GGUUCGUUUUCUCAUGCGUACUGGAUCAAGCGAUGCCGCGUGAGUGAAGAAGGCCUUCGGGUUGUAAAGCUCUUUUGUUGGGAAAGAAAUCCACCUGGUUAAUACCCGGGGGUCCUGACGGUACCGGAAGAAUAAGCACCGGUUAACUUCGG
This 152-nucleotide ribosomal RNA is filed under the name uncultured Rhodospirillum sp. RNAcentral's name for it is "partial 16S ribosomal RNA". It matches the Rfam family "Bacterial small subunit ribosomal RNA", at positions 359 to 506 of the family's 1533-position model. The record is from RNAcentral. Lineage: Bacteria; Pseudomonadati; Pseudomonadota; Alphaproteobacteria; Rhodospirillales; Rhodospirillaceae.